RNAcentral lists this long non-coding RNA (555 nucleotides) under Homo sapiens (human). RNAcentral describes it as "FGF12 antisense RNA 1". Lineage: Eukaryota; Metazoa; Chordata; Mammalia; Primates; Hominidae. The record is from RNAcentral.
AUGGUAUAAAUUGGGUUUCAUGGAUUGGUUUCAAUUCUGAAUGCUUUUCUGGAGCCAAAGCUCACCUCAGCACUCUUGGGCUGCAUGCUGUAAUCCUGGGGGAUGGGGGAUUAGUCCUGUGGCUUUGCUCUCUGGCCCCUUGAGAUUAAGCACCUGCUGUGCUGGAGGUGCUGAGGUGUUCCCAGUUCACUUGCAACAACACUCUGGCAGGGGCUGCUGGCAAAAUUGCUCCAGUGGGGCAGUGGGAGUCUCCACACACAUGUGCACCAAUGGAGGAGGCUGCAGAAAGACUUCAAUUAUUUUAUUUGAUGUGCCACUGGACAGACUUGUAAAUGGAAGCUCAAGGAAUUCAGUGAGUUGUCUCUGGAAAAGAGCAGAGCAGAUGAACACAACAGAUGAAGCUAUUAAUGCAGCUUUACCUUACUGACCCAGAGCCCUUCGAGUCUGAGUUUCCUCUGGACCAAGUGGUUAUCUUCUCUAUACAGACUGGGGAUUCUAUCUCCCAAGCAUGCAAUUAACUGCCCCUUUUGAAUAUUCUAUUCCAAGACUCAUUGC